UACAGAGGGUGCAAGCGUCGUUCGGAAUCACUGGGCGUAAAGGGCGUGUAGGCGGUGAGGUGUGUCCGAUGUGAAAGCCCCCGGCUCAACUGGGGAAAUGCAUUGGAAACUACCUCGCUCGAGUGCGGGAGAGGGUGGCGGAAUUUCCAGAGUAGAGGUGAAAUUCGUAGAUACUGGAAGGAACACCUGAGGCGAAGGCGGCCACCUGGUACGUAACUGACGCUGAUACGCGAAAGCGUGGGGAGCAAACAGG
RNAcentral lists this ribosomal RNA (253 nucleotides) under uncultured bacterium. Its description in RNAcentral is "partial 16S ribosomal RNA". It matches the Rfam family "Bacterial small subunit ribosomal RNA", at positions 524 to 776 of the family's 1533-position model. The record is from RNAcentral.